RNAcentral lists this ribosomal RNA (425 nucleotides) under uncultured Enterobacter sp. Its description in RNAcentral is "bacterial SSU rRNA". It matches the Rfam family "Bacterial small subunit ribosomal RNA", at positions 354 to 771 of the family's 1533-position model. Lineage: Bacteria; Pseudomonadati; Pseudomonadota; Gammaproteobacteria; Enterobacterales; Enterobacteriaceae. The record is from RNAcentral.
GUGGGGAAUAUUGCACAAUGGGCGCAAGCCUGAUGCAGCCAUGCCGCGUGUAUGAAGAAGGCCUUCGGGUUGUAAAGUACUUUCAGCGGGGAGGAAGGUGCUGAGGUUAAUAACCUCAGCAAUUGACGUUACCCGCAGAAGAAGCACCGGCUAACUCCGUGCCAGCAGCCGCGGUAAUACGGAGGGUGCAAGCGUUAAUCGGAAUUACUGGGCGUAAAGCGCACGCAGGCGGUCUGUCAAGUCGGAUGUGAAAUCCCCGGGCUCAACCUGGGAACUGCAUUCGAAACUGGCAGGCUAGAGUCUUGUAGAGGGGGGUAGAAUUCCAGGUGUAGCGGUGAAAUGCGUAGAGAUCUGGAGGAAUACUGGUGGCGAAGGCGGCCCCCUGGACAAAGACUGACGCUCAGGUGCGAAAGCGUGGGGAGCAA